RNAcentral lists this ribosomal RNA (253 nucleotides) under uncultured bacterium. RNAcentral's name for it is "partial 16S ribosomal RNA". It matches the Rfam family "Bacterial small subunit ribosomal RNA", at positions 524 to 776 of the family's 1533-position model. The record is from RNAcentral.
UACGGAGGGGNUUAGCGNUGUUCGGAAUUACUGGGCGUAAAGCGCGCGUAGGCGGGCCAGAAAGUUGGGGGUGAAAUCCCGGGGCUCAACCCCGGAACGGCCUCCAAAACUCCUGGUCUUGAGUUCGAGAGAGGUGAGUGGAAUUCCGAGUGUAGAGGUGAAAUUCGUAGAUAUUCGGAGGAACACCAGUGGCGAAGGCGGCUCACUGGCUCGAUACUGACGCUGAGGUGCGAAAGUGUGGGGAGCAAACAGC